AGAGUUUGAUCAUGGCUCAGGAUGAACGCUAGCGGCAGGCCUAACACAUGCAAGUCGAGGGGUAACAUAAAGUGCUUGCACUUUGAUGACGACCGGCGCACGGGUGCGCACCGCGUAUGGAACUGCCCUUUGCAGGGGAAUAGCCCAGAGAAAUUUGGAUUAAUGCCCCGUGGUACCUUCUUAUAGCAUUAUAUAAAGGUUAAAGCUUUCGGGCGGCAAAGGAUGGCCAUGCGUCCCAUUAGCUAGUUGGCAAGGUAACGGCUUACCAGGGCUACGAUGGGUAGGGGCCCUGAGAGGGGGAUCCCCCACACUGGUACUGAGACACGGACCAGACUCCUACGGGAGGCAGCAGUGAGGAAUAUUGGACAAUGGGCGAAGGCCUGAUCCAGCCAUGCCGCGUGCAGGAAGAAUGCCCUAUGGGUAGUAAACUGCUUUUAUACGGGAAGAAAAAGGGCCACGUGUGGCCUGUUGACGGUACCGUAAGAAUAAGGACCGGCUAACUCCGUGCCAGCAGCCGCGGUAAUACGGAGGGUCCGAGCGUUAUCCGGAAUUAUUGGGUUUAAAGGGUCCGUAGGCGGGCCGUUAAGUCAGGGGUGAAAGUCUGCGGCUCAACCGUAGAAAUGCCUUUGAUACUGGCGGUCUUGAGUCAUGGUGAAGUGGGCGGAAUAUGUAGUGUAGCGGUGAAAUGCAUAGAUAUUACAUAGAACACCGAUUGCGAAGGCAGCCCACUAACCAUGUACUGACGCUGAUGGGCGAAAGCGUGGGGAGCGAACAGGAUUAGAUACCCUGGUAGUCCACGCCGUAAACGAUGGAUACUAGCUGUCCGGGCCCUUGAGGUCUGGGCGGCCAAGCGAAAGUGAUAAGUAUCCCACCUGGGGAGUACGUUCGCAAGAAUGAAACUCAAAGGAAUUGACGGGAAGGGCGAAUUCGCGG
This 933-nucleotide ribosomal RNA is filed under the name uncultured bacterium. RNAcentral describes it as "bacterial SSU rRNA". It matches the Rfam family "Bacterial small subunit ribosomal RNA", at positions 8 to 932 of the family's 1533-position model. The record is from RNAcentral.